CUGACCUUGACUUAGCUUCCUAGGCAGGCCUGCCUUCAGGGAGGGAACACGCUGAUCCUACACACCCAGGAAGGUUUCACCACAAAGAGGGCCACACCCUGAGCAAAAAUCCAGAGCUGGCAUCUGACUGCUGCACUGAUCUCUGGGAGUGCGCCUGGGACACAGCUAUCCCUGAGAGACAGCUGCAUUCAUAGGACUGACAUGUUGGGUUUUGGUGCCUCUCCAGUCAGACCUAUGGGAAAUCCCAGGAAGAUGCCGCCUUUAGCAAAGCUCUGAUCCGACAUCCAUGGAGACUCUACCACCUAGAACACACAAGGCACAGCACACUCUGGAGGCAGAGCGGCCGCUACACGUUUCCCCACUCCUCGAACCUUGGUUUUCUCUCCACUCAAAUGGGAAUACUGACUGCCCACAUAACUGAUCAAAUGCAAUAAAGCCUGUCAAGCGCCAGAUGCAGGAUGUGGAACAAAGAAGGAUCUCAUCCUCAGAGUCCAGAUGGAAACCAACUGUCUUAGAAAAGUGUACGGCUCUAUUUCACUGACCAACCCAGUGUGGGCGACUUGCAAGCUUUCAACGGAUGAUGGUACUCACGAGGCUUUGAUGAGCAGCUGCUCUCUCUCCUGGAGUUCCCGCUUCAGACUUUCUACUUCCACCUUGAGCUCAAUGUUCUACAAAACAAGAUUAAGAAAGAAAAGAAACAAUGUAAAAUAGAGGACCUAUGAAUGUCAACAAUGGGGAAACUGCUUCCAGCACAGACUGACUACAGGAUGCUUGUAAUAGGCAGAUGUUAGAUUCCAAAAACCCUCAUUAGCCUCAGGGCACAGGGAAAAGGGAAUUAUUAAACACUGGUGGUCUCAAAAGAAAGACCUAGAUUUUGUGAGACUUGGAACAAUUAUGUAAAUGCUCCAAGCUUCUAACAGCCAGAGCAUUCAAAUAUCAAGGCAUAAAUGUCAUACAAGGAAGGCUGAUUUAAAAAUUGUAUGCCCUCCACCAAGCAAAUUUACAAGCAAUUCUGCGGUGUGUUUUUCCCAUUCCAAAGCAAUUACUGGUGGUUGUUUACAAUCAUGCAUGUGGUGGAUGCAGCAGUGGGAACGUGUUACAGCUUAAAAAAAAAUAAAACAUGUGGAUGGAAAACAGGAGACCACAUCAUGGCAUGUGUCAUUUCAAUAUAAGAUUUCAGGGUUCUCACUUAAAGCUACAACCACAUGGGGCAAGCUGUCUAUAAGGAGCACCGCAAUGUUCUCCAACCAAAUGUCUUCCUCUUAACUGACUGGAACAAAGGGAGUUGCACACAGCCUUGGGCUUAUAACUCACGUGAGAAUCCAGGGCAAAUGGAAUUCAAUAUGAGACAGCUGAACAGUGGCAGACUUCUCAAACUUAUCUACAAAUGUAUCCCAGACAGAAUAUUAGAUGAACUCAAGUAGUAGAUGGG
This 1432-nucleotide long non-coding RNA is filed under the name Homo sapiens (human). RNAcentral's name for it is "HSALNT0154847". The record is from RNAcentral. Lineage: Eukaryota; Metazoa; Chordata; Mammalia; Primates; Hominidae.